Long non-coding RNA from Haemorhous mexicanus (house finch), 669 nucleotides. RefSeq lists it as uncharacterized. Lineage: Eukaryota; Metazoa; Chordata; Aves; Passeriformes; Fringillidae. The transcript is spliced from 2 exons. The record is from RefSeq and is a predicted model, not a curated record.
ACUCCACUUCUCUCACCUCCUUCUCCUCAGGAAUCAGGUGCACCUGUGACCCCAAGCCAUGUCCUGCUGCAAGCCCUGUGACCCCUGUGGCCAGUCCUGUGGCCCCUGCCCACUGGCCAGCAGCUGCAAUGAGUGCUGUGUCAGGCAGUGCCAGAGCUCCCACGUUGUCAUUGAGCCACCUGCUGUGCUGGUGACCCUGCCCGGCCCCAUCCUCAGCUCCUCCCCACAGAACACCGCCGUGGGAUCCUCCACCUCUGCUGCUGUUGGCAACAUCCUCAGCUGUGGCGGAGUGCCCAUCAGCUCUGGGGGCUUUGACAUCUCCUGCAUCACCAACUGCUUUGGGAGCAGCAGAUGCCGUCCCUGCUAAAUCUGCUGGCAAUGUCUUCCAACAUGAACGCCCGAUACUUCAAAGCCUGGUUUUGGACAGGAGAUAGAGUUUCAGAAAAUCGUAUUUCAAGCUUUGGAUCAUCUCAUCUUUGUUCUAUUCUCCUCUCCUUUUCUGUCCCUCACUCCCCAAGGCAGUCUAGUGUGGAUCUGCCUUUCUUUCUACCUCUGCAGGGCAGUGCAAAGUAUACCACAAGGGAGUGCCAUCAUAGUGGCUGCUCCUGGUGCUCUCUGUGGCCCAUCUCUUUUUCUUCUUUCAACUUAUUAAAAUUGUUUUGCAUUCAA